UCUGUGUUGCCAGCAUUUAGUUGGGGACUCACAGGAGGCUGCCGGGGUUAACUCGGAGGAAGGUGGGGAUGACGUCAAAUCAUCAUGCCCCUUAUGUCUUGGGCUGCACGCAUGCUACAAUGGCUGGUACAAACGGCUGCGAUACCGCAAGGUGGAGCGAAUCCGAUAAAGCCAGUCUCAGUUCGGAUUGGGGUCUGCAACUCGACCCCAUGAAGUGAGAGUUGCUAGUAAUCGUAGAUCAGCAACGCUACGGUGAAUACGUUCCCGGGGCUUGUACACACCGCCCGUCACGUCACGAAAGUCGGUAACACCCGAAGUCAG
Molecule: ribosomal RNA, 321 nt
Filed under: uncultured Actinomycetes bacterium
Lineage: Bacteria; Bacillati; Actinomycetota; Actinomycetes
Description: bacterial SSU rRNA
Rfam family: Bacterial small subunit ribosomal RNA
Source: RNAcentral